GACAUCCAUCUCGCCUUAACAAAUACAAUCGAAAACUAACAAAUCAAACUGUUAAAAGUUUCCCAAUAUGUGGACAGAUUACUUGCUACAUGUUGUGUUGUGAUUGCUUCCCUUUACAUUUUUCUGCCUAUCUUUGUGCACCAUUGAUAGUGAUGCCAGUUUUAGUUGCAUGCUCACAUAAAAUCUGCGAGAAAUACACAGAUGUCAAGAUUUUAAAUUCCUUCGCGCACCAUUUAUUCUGCUAACGAGUUUGAUCUUUAUGUUUCUUUUGUUGGAAAAAUUUGAUCUUGAAGUUUGGCACACAUGCUUUUGCAGGGAAGAUGUAUGAGAUUGGACCAUCUGGAAUUAGCAGUCUAAAGGGCCACAACAAGAGGAGGAAUAAAUAGGAGCCUCAAAGAUUUCAUCUCCCUCUUCGGAAGAAUGUCCCUUGUACCAACUAAUGCUAAAGCUGUAGACGCUGGAUUUGAAUGCUUCUGGUAGUUUCAGAGUUGGUCCAUGUGCCGUUGGAUUAUGUGAUAUGUGAUACAUCUCUACCAUAUAAAGGAAGUAUGAGACUUUGUGGAGUCAUCUGGGUUGUUUGUUUUUGUUGUGGCUUGAUCGAGCACGUGGUGGCGGUGAGUGGUUCUGCAUAUUAGACAGCUCAGGACGGAACGUGUUUAAGUACAUGUAACUGAGAAGCCAGGAAUUGGAAUUUGGUUGGUGGAUGCGGGGAUGCUCAUCCCUCAUGCGAAUAGCGACAUGCAUACUUUUUAUAUAAAGUUGAGACAAAAAGCCGAGAGGCGCUCUGCAGAAAUGGUGGUGAAUGUUCCUUCAGCUGCAAACAAACACAAAGCCUCGUGCCGAAAACUAAUUUGUUGUGCCCUGAAAGCGGAAGGAUUCUUCAUGCACGAAAACUAAAUCCAAACGAUACACAGCUCCGAGAAACACUACUUAAGUAUCUUGAUGGAUUCUGGAAUGGCGCUCGGCUUUUCGUUCUUAAUAGCUAUGUCCUAACCAGAAGCAAACAGCAUCAACUAUUAUGCAGCCACCAUUCCUCAGAGAUGCAUCACCUUCACAGUGCUGUGGAAACAAAACCCGAAAACAAAGUUCGAAUGCGAAGAACUUAACUCAGUUGCUGGAUUUGCUGAAGCUUAAGAGCAUCAACAUCUAUUCUGACCAAGGAAGAAAAUAUCGGUGAUAUCGGAAAUAUCGGUAGUCCGAAAAUACGGAAAUAUCGAUGGAAAUAUCGGUAAAAUAUCGAUAUCGAUAAAAAUUACAUGGAAACCACGGAAAUUGUAAGAAAAACUUGGAAAUUUUUAUUGAAACUUUGUAGGAUGUUUAUUUAGUCAAUUAUCUAUUAGUUUAUCACAAAAAA
Non-coding RNA from Malus domestica (apple), 1354 nucleotides. The record is from RefSeq and is a predicted model, not a curated record. NCBI's taxonomy places the organism in Eukaryota, Viridiplantae, Streptophyta, Magnoliopsida, Rosales, Rosaceae.